GAAAUGGGUGCAAUGGAGAAACUUCCCCACUUGUCUUUUCAUCUCAUAGUCUUCUGCUCUAAUCUUGUUUGUUCAUUCAAUCUGCUGCAAUGUUUUUUGUGUGGAUAGGAUGCAUAUAUCGCUGGUUUUGUUCAUGGGGGAAAAACCUCAUGAAGAAUUUCAGUGUAUCUAAAGAUCAAGCUCUCUGGAUCCCCCCACUCCCAAGAAUCUGUCAUGAUAACGUAGCUUGAGGAAGUUAUGAUUAUUCUACAUUCCUUCAUGUCAAACCAUAAACAUGUUAGGUCCUGUAUCAGCAAAGCCAGCUCAAAGUACUCUGUUGACAGAGAAGACAAAUUUCUAAGAGUCUUCACAGAUAGGAUUUAUUUCUAAGAAUACUUGACAUCAGUGAGUGAGUAGAGAAGUUCUCAAUAAUCUGAACCUAAGCAGACAGGAACCCUAACGAGGAAGUUCAAAUCACAGUGAAACCCUCUGCAUGUCCACACAGAAGAAAGACCCAGGGAGUUGCUAUAUUUUAAACGGCGUUUCUGUGUGCUCUGGCAUUCGUCAUGGUGUCCCGUUGUUCCAGAAGUGGUUUAGUCAUGCUGGUCAUGACUCAGAAAGCUGUCUGUGACAAACGCCGGCUCCCUCAGCCUGAAAAGCGAAAUUAGCAACUCCAAAAGUCACAUUUGACUGGACUUAACUGUCCAGGGGUCCUUUACCUUUUUACCUUUUACCUUACUAUGUAUUAAACAUUAUUAGUAGUGGUAUGCUUAUCUGCAAGUCCAUCUGCAUGGACUGCAAGAAGAACAAACCUAUCCAUUCUUAAGGGAAUCAGCCCUGAGUGCUCACUGGAAGGACAGAUCGUGAAGGUGAGGCUCCAAUACUUUGGCCACCUCAUGAGAAGAGAAGACUCUCUGGAAAAGACCCUGAUGUUGGGAAAGAUGGAGGGCACAAGGAGAAGGGAACGAGAGAGGAUGAGAUGGUUGGAUAGUGUUCUCGAAGCUACCGGCAUGAGUUUGACCAAACUGAGGGAGGCAGUGGAAGACAGAAGUGCCUGGCGUGCUCUGGUCCAUGGGGUCACAAAGAGUCGGACACAACUAAACGACUAAACAACAACAACAACAACAUGCUUAUCUACCAGUCACUUUCCUAUAGAUAUGCUCAGAGCAGCACACAGAAACAGUAAACAAUACAGAGCUAUAUAUUGAUAGAUAGAUACAGUAGAAAUAAUACAUGUACAAAAUCCAUUUGACAAAUUUCAUCAGUUAACAUUUAUAUCCACACCAGCUAGCUAACAAAAACAUCAAAAUUAUUUCCCCCCUAAACUGUUUGAUUAAUAAGAACAAUCACCAAAAAUAUUCACAUUUACCAAAGAAGGAUAGGACUUUCUUUAUGUAUGCCACAACAGCAGCAAGAACUUAUUGCAAAGUAUUGGAAGACACAAGAUCUACCCACCUUGGAAGAAUGGCAGAUGAAGGUGAUGGACUAUAUGGAACUGGCAGAAAUGACUGGCAGAAUCCGAGACCAGGGAGAAGAGUCGGUGGAAGAAGAUUGGAAAAAGUUUAAAGACUAUUUACAGAAAUAUUGUAAAAUUAAUGAAUGUUAGAAUGAUGUUGGAUAGAAACUAAGUGGUUUCUAGCUGUAAUGUUUUAAGGGAAUAUGAAAAAUGGACUAUUAAUAGGUAAAAAUCUAAUGUUACAAUACUUUAAGAUUGAAGAUUAGGAUAAACAAAGAGGGAGGGAUUUGCUGAACUAACAAACUGAAUUGGAAUACAGAAAAGGGAGGCGUGAGGAGGUCCGGGAAAUAAGCAAAUGAAAGAUAAGUAAUUGAAAGACUGAAUUGUUUUUAACUAUUUUUAUUUUCUAUUUUUCUUUUUUCUUUUUUUUAUUUUGUAAUAUUUUGAAAACCUUAAUAAAUAUCUUUUUAAAAAAAACAAACAAAAAUAUUCACAUUUAGCUAAAUAACUGCUAAACUUUCCACUAACUAAUCCAAGUUUCUAAAGUAUCAACAGUUCAAUGGGGCUUAAACUGGAUUUCAGCCCCAGAAUGCUUUUGAUCUCAUUCUCUCCCCCCCCCACAUACACACACUAAGAAAACAUGUUUAAGAAGCAUAUUUGCCUGUGAUCAAUUUGUGUACUGAAGUUUAGCUUCCAAGAUUAUCCAGCUGACUGUGAGAACCUGGCUAGCAAUGGCUCAAGAAACCACAUGCAUCAAUCUCAAUAACGGUUUCUCUUUAAAGCAAAACAAAGCAUGGGGGAUAUAACUCUUUUUGUUUUACUUGAUCCCUCCAUACAUUAAAUGCCUUUGCCUGCUGAUGUAAAAAAUCCAAGUCUCUGCCUGGUGAUGUAAUGUAUAUAGUCUGCUCUGAUAACCAAACAUUAGCCUAGGUGCAUUUUAGCAAGCACUUUUUGUUUACUUCCUCUAUGUGUACUUAUACCCCACUUUUCUUCCCAGGAGGUCAAGCUGGCAUACAUGGUUCUCUCCCUCUCCUGCCCCCUCUCCAUUUUGUCCUCAGAACAAUGUGAGGUAGAUUUGGCUAAGAGAUCAUCACUGGCCCAAGCUCUCAGCCGUAUAGCUGAAUGGAGAUUUAAAACAGGAUCUCCUCAUUUUUUGCAUUUGGAAAAUAUAUUGCAGUGGGUGUGCAGGACUAGGAGGCGCAGGAAGGAAGUAAAACCUCAAAGGAAGAGAUCUACUUUACCAACCAGUAGACAUUAAAAGAGAGGAAUCAGUGAUGAAGAAGAGGUAGCUUCUCUGUGUAUCACCCCACACUGAUUCAGGUAACAUAUUGCAAGCACUGUGGGUUUACUUCCAUCACCAAAGGCAGGGGGAGCUUGACAGGUUCAGUUGCACCGGGUGUGAAGCUUCUGGGGUGCCGCAGGAGGUGCCACAACUAUGAAGUCCAACAGAAGGCAAGAGGCAGGGGUGCAUGUUGCAUUUUGGUGUUGCACAGGGUGCCACUGAAAUUUGAGAUGCCAAGGUCUGCCACUGCCAACAUCCCAUCCUAGUCCAAGACUCCAAGCACUACUCCACACUCUCAGUGUGUGUGUGUGUGUAGUGUACAGUCUUCAGUAUACAUGAGGGAUGGAGAACUUGUUGUUUUUGUUCUACAGCUUCCACCAUCCUUGACCAUUGGCCAUCCUGGCUGCGGGUGACAGGAGUUAAGAGUCCAACAACACCUGGAGGGUCACAGGUUCUUCAUCCCUGCUUUACAUACACCAUCAAUUUGGUCUGCCUUUGGAAGUGGAAAUGUGCCCCCUUGCUGCCAAAGUUUUGCUUCAACAGCUGCUUCACCCCUAGGCCAUGUGAAAAUUGCGCUCCAAAUCAUGGUCUAUUAAAAAAUAAAAGUAGUUGCAUUGUUCCAUAAGAAAGAAAGAAGAAUCCAAAAUCCCUACUAUUUUGGUGGUCUGAAUAGAGGCAUUUCUGAAAUAUUAUAUAUUAAAUUAAUU
Non-coding RNA from Podarcis lilfordi (Lilford's wall lizard), 3424 nucleotides. NCBI's taxonomy places the organism in Eukaryota, Metazoa, Chordata, Lepidosauria, Squamata, Lacertidae. The record is from the annotation of a GenBank genome assembly.